GAUGAACGCUGGCGGCGUGCCUAAUACAUGCAAGUCGAGCGAACAGACGAGGAGCUUGCUCCUCUGACGUUAGCGGCGGACGGGUGAGUAACACGUGGAUAACCUACCUAUAAGACUGGGAUAACUUCGGGAAACCGGAGCUAAUACCGGAUAAUAUAUUUAACCGCAUGGUUCAAUAGUGAAAGACGGUUUUGCUGUCACUUAUAGAUGGAUCCGCGCCGCAUUAGCUAGUUGGUAAGGUAACGGCUUACCAAGGCAACGAUGCGUAGCCGACCUGAGAGGGUGAUAGGCCACACUGGAACUGAGACACGGUCCAGACUCCUACGGGAGGCAGCAGUAGGGAAUCUUCCGCAAUGGGCGAAAGCCUGACGGAGCAACGCCGCGUGAGUGAUGAAGGUCUUCGGAUCGUAAAACUCUGUUAUUAGGGAAGAACAAAUGUGUAAGUAACUAUGCACGUCUUGACGGUACCUAAUCAGAAAGCCACGGCUAACUACGUG
Molecule: ribosomal RNA, 497 nt
Filed under: uncultured bacterium
Lineage: Bacteria
Description: partial 16S ribosomal RNA
Rfam family: Bacterial small subunit ribosomal RNA
Source: RNAcentral